GACGAACGCUGGCGGCGUGCUUAACACAUGCAAGUCGAACGGAAAGGCCCUGCUUUUGUGGGGUGCUCGAGUGGCGAACGGGUGAGUAACACGUGAGUAACCUGCCCUUGACUUUGGGAUAACUUCAGGAAACUGGGGCUAAUACCGGAUAGGAGCUCCUGCUGCAUGGUGGGGGUUGGAAAGUUUCGGCGGUUGGGGAUGGACUCGCGGCUUAUCAGCUUGUUGGUGGGGUAGUGGCUUACCAAGGCUUUGACGGGUAGCCGGCCUGAGAGGGUGACCGGCCACAUUGGGACUGAGAUAAGGCCCAGACUCCUACGGGGGGCAGCAGUGGGGAAUAUUGCACAAUGGGCGGAAGCCUGAUGCAGCAACGCCGCGUGCGGGAUGACGGCCUUCGGGUUGUAACCCGCUUUCGCCUGUGACGAAGCGUGAGUGACGGUAAUGGGUAAAGAAGCACCGGCUAACUACGUG
This 468-nucleotide ribosomal RNA is filed under the name uncultured bacterium. RNAcentral describes it as "partial 16S ribosomal RNA". It matches the Rfam family "Bacterial small subunit ribosomal RNA", at positions 28 to 507 of the family's 1533-position model. The record is from RNAcentral.